GCCCACAAUGAGCUUACAGCCCGGGGGGGGGCGGGGGGAGACAGACAUUAGUAUAAAUUACAGAUACGUGCAGAAGUGCUCUGGACUCGAGCCAGCCCCCGCACUUUAUUAAUUCAAUCAAUUAAUCCGUGGUAUUUCUCGAGCACUGACCGCAGAGCACUGGAAUAAGCACAUGGGAGUGGGCAGUAAAACAGAGUAUCUGUAAUGUAUUUACCUCAAUUAAUGUCUUUCUCUUCCUCUAGACUGGGAGCUCAUUGCGGGAGAAGGGGUCUGUCUACUAUAAAAUAGCGUACUCUCCCAAGCGCUUAGUACAGUGUUCUGCAUACGGUGCCGGGUGACCAGGAACUCCGUUCUUAAGUACGCAGAUGGGAUAUUUGGCCCAAAUGGGGUUCCCAGGCUAAGAGGGGAGCGAGAUAGCGAAGAAGCGAGAGUCGGUGGAGAGGUCUUCGGAGAAAAUGGGGUCAAACACGCUCGCUUGAAUUCCCGUUUCAAGAAACCACAGUUUCUUUUCUCUCUCCCCAGCUUGCGCUGAGCUAGGGGCUCCUUACGCGUGCGUUUCAGAACUGGAAAAUCGGUUUUCCUUCGCUGCCUAUUCAUCCAUUACGCUCCCACGGCCCGGGGUGGUCUUCGAAACCACCGAUCCCAAAUAAACCUGCUCGUUUCUCAAA
Long non-coding RNA from Ornithorhynchus anatinus (platypus), 668 nucleotides. RefSeq lists it as uncharacterized. The transcript is spliced from 2 exons. The record is from RefSeq and is a predicted model, not a curated record. NCBI's taxonomy places the organism in Eukaryota, Metazoa, Chordata, Mammalia, Monotremata, Ornithorhynchidae.